This 67-nucleotide transfer RNA is filed under the name Cricetulus griseus (Chinese hamster). It matches the Rfam family "tRNA". Rfam says of the family: Transfer RNA (tRNA) molecules are approximately 80 nucleotides in length. Their secondary structure includes four short double-helical elements and three loops (D, anti-codon, and T loops). The record is from Rfam by way of RNAcentral. Lineage: Eukaryota; Metazoa; Chordata; Mammalia; Rodentia; Cricetidae.
GGGGCUGGAGAGAUGGCUCAGCUGACUGAUGUUCCAGAGGACCUGGGUUCAAUUCCCAGCAGCCCCA